Molecule: non-coding RNA, 592 nt
Organism: Cinara cedri
Lineage: Eukaryota; Metazoa; Arthropoda; Insecta; Hemiptera; Aphididae
Source: the annotation of a GenBank genome assembly
GCGACAAAAUAAUAAUACUCCAAUAAAAAGAAUAUAAUAUUUUAAAUUAUUAUUACUUUGAAAAAAAAUAAUAAUAAGAAUAAUUCAAUAUAUUAAAUAGGUAAGGUUCUGGGUUAUACAGGGGGUCCCACAAUGAUCUGCUAAUUGAAAUAACUUUUGUUCUAUUCAAUAUGUUGAAUAUAUUUUUUUUUUUAAACAAUGAAUAUGCCUCUGCGUUACAGUUUAUGUAUGGAUAUUUUUUUUUUUUUUUAGGCGGAGGGGGAUUUAAAAUAAAACAUUUUAAAUUUUACUAUAAUCUUUUCAAAUAAAUUUAAAAUAGCCAGUUUGUAAAAUAGAUUUUUAGACAAUUUUUGGUGUUUAAAACUUUUGUUAAAGUAUGGUCUUUAAUUUUUUACGGUUUUUUGAAGUUUUUGCAAAUAUGGAUAUAACCUGUUGUGAUUACUCCAUUACAAUAUUUAAUAAGUUAUUAAUCAGGGCACAUGACAAGAAUUUUCUGUUCCAUGAGUUAAUAUCAUGCAAUAAUACUAUCAUAUUAUGGGUAUUAGGUAAUAAGUAAAUGGUCAUUCAUCUUGAUAAACAACAUUGUUAUGAC